Molecule: ribosomal RNA, 468 nt
Filed under: uncultured bacterium
Lineage: Bacteria
Description: partial 16S ribosomal RNA
Rfam family: Bacterial small subunit ribosomal RNA
Source: RNAcentral
GACGAAUGAUGGCGGCGUGCUUAACACAUGCAAGUCGAACGGAAAGGCCCUGCUUUUGUGGGGUGCUCGAGUGGCGAACGGGUGAGUAACACGUGAGUAACCUGCCCUUGACUUUGGGAUAACUUCAGGAAACUGGGGCUAAUACCGGAUAGGAGCUCCUGCUGCAUGGUGGGGGUUGGAAAGUUUCGGCGGUUGGGGAUGGACUCGCGGCUUAUCAGCUUGUUGGUGGGGUAGUGGCUUACCAAGGCUUUGACGGGUAGCCGGCCUGAGAGGGUGACCGGCCACAUUGGGACUGAGAUACGGCCCAGACUCCUACGGGAGGCAGCAGUGGGGAAUAUUGCACAAUGGGCGGAAGCCUGAUGCAGCAACGCCGCGUGCGGGAUGACGGCCUUCGGGUUGUAAACCGCUUUCGCCUGUGACGAAGCGUGAGUGACGGUAAUGGGUAAAGAAGCACCGGCUAACUACGUG